Molecule: ribosomal RNA, 501 nt
Filed under: uncultured bacterium
Lineage: Bacteria
Description: partial 16S ribosomal RNA
Rfam family: Bacterial small subunit ribosomal RNA
Source: RNAcentral
AUUGAACGCUGGCGGUAGGCUUAACACAUGCAAGUCGAGCGGGGAAGGUUGCUUUGGUAACUGACCUAGCGGCGGACGGGUGAGUAAUGCUUAGGAAUCUGCCUAUUAGUGGGGGACAACAUUCCGAAAGGAAUGCUAAUACCGCAUACGCCCUAUGGGGGAAAGCAGGGGAUCUUCGACCCUUGCGCUAAUAGAUGAGCUUAAGUCGGAUUAGCUAGGUGGUGGAGUAAAGGCCUACCAAGGCGACGAUCUGUAGCGGGUCUGAGAGGUUGAUCCGCCACACUGGGACUGAGACACGGCCCAGACUCCUACGGGAGGCAGCAGUGGGGAAUAUUGGACAAUGGGCGGAAGCCUGAUCCAGCCAUGCCGCGUGUGUGAAGAAGGCCUUUUGGUUGUAAAGCACUUUAAGCGAGGAGGAGGCUCCUUUAGUUAAUACCUAAAGAGAGUGGACGUUACUCGCAGAAUAAGCACCGGCUAACUCUGUGCCAGCAGCCGCCGUAA